This 351-nucleotide ribosomal RNA is filed under the name uncultured bacterium. RNAcentral describes it as "partial 16S ribosomal RNA". It matches the Rfam family "Bacterial small subunit ribosomal RNA", at positions 338 to 682 of the family's 1533-position model. The record is from RNAcentral.
CCUACGGGUGGCAGCAGUGGGGAAUCUUACGCAAUGGGCGAAAGCCGGACGGAGCAACGCCGCGUGAGAGAAAGAAGGCCAGCGGGGUGUAAAGAUCUGUUGACAGGGACGAAGAAGCAAUGCGAAUAGUUUUGUGUAUGACGGUACCUGUUAAGAAAGCCACGGCUAACUACGGGCCAGCAGCCGCGGUAAUACGUAGGGAGCAAGCGUUGGCCGGAAUGACUGGGCGGAAAGGGCGGGUAGGUGGGCGCGUAAGUCCGGUGUGAAAAGUCCGGGCUCCACCUGGUGACUGCACUUGAAACUGGCUGUCUUGAGGGCAGGAGAGGAAAGUGGAAUUCCUAGUGUAGCGGU